RNAcentral lists this ribosomal RNA (776 nucleotides) under uncultured Neocallimastigales. Its description in RNAcentral is "partial large subunit ribosomal RNA". It matches the Rfam family "Eukaryotic large subunit ribosomal RNA", at positions 20 to 643 of the family's 3401-position model. Lineage: Eukaryota; Fungi; Neocallimastigomycota; Neocallimastigomycetes; Neocallimastigales. The record is from RNAcentral.
CAUCACUACGCUAGAUGCAUAUCAAUAAGCGGAGGAAAAGAAACUAACAUAGGAUUCCCUUAGUAACGGCGAGUGAAGCGGGAAGAGCUCAAAUUUGAAAUCUUCAAGGUUCUACCUUGACGAAUUGUAGUUUAUAGAAGUGUUUUCUGUUAGUAGGAGUGGCAAAAGUUCUUUGGAAUAGGACAUCAUAGAGGGUGAGAAUCCCGUAUUUGGUCAUUCUUUCUAGCUUUGUGAUACACUUUCAACGAGUCGGAUUGUUUGGGAAUGCAGUCCAAAAUGGGUGGUAAAUUUCAUCUAAAGCUAAAUAUUGGCGAGAGACCGAUAGCGAACAAGUACCGUGAGGGAAAGAUGAAAAGAACUUUGAAAAGAGAGUUAAACAGUACGUGAAAUUGUCAAAAGGGAAGCGUUUGACACCAGUGUUGUUUAGUUGAAAAUCAAUUCAAUAAUUUUUGAUUUUGAGUAGUAUUGACUUCAUCAGCUUGCUGCUUUCUUUUCGGAAAUUAUUGAAUGCACUUCUCAGUUAACAAGUCAACAUCAAUUUCUUUUGUUGUAAAAGGGUAAGAGGAAGGUGGCUUACGCUUCGGCGUAAGUGUUUAUAGCCUUUUACCUCUGCAAUCGGAGAGAUUGAGGACAGCAGCGUAGACUCUUCGGGGUUAGAUACACUUGUGCUAAGCUAUAGCCUUGUAUAGACAACUUGUUGACUAUGCUCAGUCAUGUAGCUUACUCGCUUGUGCUAUUUUACCUACGCUUAGGAUGUUGACACACGCGCGUGCUCG